Molecule: ribosomal RNA, 468 nt
Filed under: uncultured bacterium
Lineage: Bacteria
Description: partial 16S ribosomal RNA
Rfam family: Bacterial small subunit ribosomal RNA
Source: RNAcentral
GACGAACGCUGGCGGCGUGCUUAACACAUGCAAGUCGAACGGAAAGGCCCUGCUUUCGUGGGGUGCUCGAGUGGCGAACGGGUGAGUAACACGUGAGUAACCUGCCCUUGACUUUGGGAUAACUUCAGGAAACUGGGGCUAAUACCGGAUAGGAGCUCCUGCUGCAUGGUGGGGGUUGGAAAGUUUCGGCGGUUGGGGAUGGACUCGCGGCUUAUCAGCUUGUUGGUGGGGUAGUGGCUUACCAAGGCUUUGACGGGUAGCCGGCCUGAGAGGGUGACCGGCCUCAUUGGGACUGAGAUACGGCCCAGACUGCUACGGGAGGCAGCAGUGGGGAAUAUUGCACAAUGGGCGGAAGCCUGAUGCAGCAACGCCGCGUGCGGGAUGACGGCCUUCGGGUUGUAAACCGCUUUCGCCUGUGACGAAGCGUGAGUGACGGUAAUGGGUAAAGAAGCACCGGCUAACUACGUG